UGAAAUUCCAAGAAAUAACUGAGGAAAAUGAGUCUGUGUAGCCUGAUUACAACUGUGAGAAAGUGUGUACCCUGAGGAAGAUUGGAGGGGCAUCAGGAUUAAAGCUGCCUCAGCCAUAAAGAGUUUACAAACUCUAAAGAAAGAUAAUAACUUCCCUUCUCACGGCCCGGUCAUGGGGAGGCAAUGCAUGUUUCCAAUCAGCUGAGAAUGUAACUCAAAUGGAACACUGAACUCCACUGUGUGGGAGCUUGAGGGGCCUGUGCUGCCCAUGCCGAGUGUCCACCAUCUCACACUGCUUCUAACACCUUCAAGCCAUCUCCUGAAUCUGGAAUAGUCAUCAUGAGCUGGAGGCUUCCUCAGAAGAACCCUAAAAUCAAGGGGGAUUCUGGUGCCAAGAAAAAUAGCCCAACCCAGCUUCACAGCUGUGAGCCUCCAAUGCGCCCCAGGAAGCUGCCAUCACCAUGGGUAGCGCGACCUGGCUUGAUUUUGCCAAAACAAAGGAAAAUUCCUCCAGCAAUUUCUGUGAAUUUGUUUUGCAAAACUGAAUUGUCUGCUUUUAAUUCCCCUAUACCAAUUAAAUAAAAAUUGGAAUUUAAAAUCCAGUGAA
This 607-nucleotide long non-coding RNA is filed under the name Homo sapiens (human). RNAcentral describes it as "HSALNT0329667". The record is from RNAcentral. Lineage: Eukaryota; Metazoa; Chordata; Mammalia; Primates; Hominidae.